UACGAAGGGGGCUAGCGUUGCUCGGAAUUACUGGGCGUAAAGGGCGCGUAGGCGGACAGUUUAGUCGGGGGUGAAAGCCCGGGGCUCAACCUCGGAAUUGCCUUCGAUACUGGCUGUCUUGAGUACGGGAGAGGUGUGUGGAACUCCGAGUGUAGAGGUGAAAUUCGUAGAUAUUCGCAAGAACACCAGUGGCCAAGGCGGCUCACUGGCCCGGUACUGACGCUGAGAUACGAAAGCGUGGGGAGCAAACAGG
RNAcentral lists this ribosomal RNA (253 nucleotides) under uncultured bacterium. RNAcentral describes it as "partial 16S ribosomal RNA". It matches the Rfam family "Bacterial small subunit ribosomal RNA", at positions 524 to 776 of the family's 1533-position model. The record is from RNAcentral.